This 2908-nucleotide long non-coding RNA is filed under the name Salvia miltiorrhiza (redroot sage). RNAcentral describes it as "long non-coding RNA (SMIL_LNC006202)". The record is from RNAcentral. Lineage: Eukaryota; Viridiplantae; Streptophyta; Magnoliopsida; Lamiales; Lamiaceae.
CAGGUUUGGUUCCUAAAAUUUGCAAUUAAGUUAACUUCAGUAUAUAUAUACAUAUCAUAAAUAUAGGAAAACAGGAGCUUUUGUUUCAGUUUUCCUGGUAAGGACAUGGCAAAUCAUGUACUGCUCAAUUCAUACAAUUGGGAGCAGGGCACGGGGGGGAAUAAUGAAAAGAAUCUAGGUAGUAAGACCACAGUUCCACAGAGAAGCGUUAUAAUUAAUUGAAGUCAUAGAUUCGGCAAGACUAAUUCUGUGCUACAUAAAUCUAGCGCAUCAAGCAACGGAAGCUAACACGGAUAUAAUAAAGAAAAAUUUAUGAUACAGAAAAACCUGUAGAUCGCACAACUUAUAACAUGUUUGUUCAUCUAGGGCCAUGGUAUCCUAUAAUCCCCAAUUGCAAAACAAACACCUAAUGGACAGAGUCUGUUGCCUAACUUAGCCAGGAUAGAACAUAUGUAUGAAGACAACAAGAUACAAUAUGUGCAUCCUGUUCAGAAUUCACUCUCUCAUCAUCAUGUGCAGGUUUCACGAAUUAUCAGAGUUUGAUGAAGCUAAAAGAAGUUGUCGCAGGCGUUUGGCAGGGCACAAUGAGCGACGGCGCAAGAGUUCGUAUGAUUCUUAAUGAAAAGAGAUGUAACGAAAUAAUUUGGUUUCUAGAGGAAGGCAAAUUCACUGAAUCUAAGAUUAAUGAGGACGGCCUUACAAUGAGCCCUACUCCUCCUGAGGAUUCAGUUUGCUCUCUAUCUUCUGUCAAUUGCUGGAUUUCUUCCCACAAAGAACCAGCUCAGUUUGUAUGAGUCAAAUAUUUUGUAACCGUCUCUUGAACUUGUGGUUUGAUUGGUAUUGACAACAUAUGUCAUGCCACCUAAGGAAGCUACCAAAAUAAUGUCAAACCUCCUUUGAUUAGCUUUAUUUAUCUUUACUUUGAUCUCUUAGACCUAUCAAUUACCUAACUUCUACAACCAAUGCAGCAAUGUAUAAGAUCUAGAUCUCAUCAUGAAUAUUUCAAAGCUUAAUUACAGAAAAUAAAUUGAGACAUAGAUCCUCAACAUCAAACCAAGGAAUUAAACUUAUUAAGAUUUCCCUGAGUGCUGUUAUGCGUCCAAAGGUGAUGUCUAAAAAUAAGAAAUCAUAACAAAGCAUACCUCAAUGUCUUGGUUAUCAUCCAGGGCAGAAACACUAGCAAUCACCGGUAACUGCCUGCAAUCACAAGUAUAUCUACUUCAAGCUAACACACCAUUAUGCAAAACUUAUACCAGGCUGCCUAUAGGCAAUAUAGAAUUAUAAUGGAAACAUAAUUUACAAUACAAGCACAAAAUUGUUACAUUUAACAGGCUAAUAUACUCUAGGAGUGACUGGUUCAUAUGAGCGCACAACCUAUGUAGGAGAUGCAACAGGGGCGGAUCUAGGAUUUGAGGUUAGGGGGGGCUGAAUUUAUUGAUCUAUGACGUCCGAAGACAUUUACACGGGGGUUUGGGGGCGGAGCCCCCUAAAGCAAUUUUUUUUAAGCAUUCCGUACACUUCAUUUUCAUGCAUUUUUUUAACAAUCACUUAAUAUAAUAGAUAAUUGUUUGCAAUUCAAUUAAUUCAACAUUAAGUAGAUUGAAAGCAUAUACAAAAACAUACUUUUAUGCAUUCUUUUAAAAAAAUAUAUUUCAUUUUCUAAACAAAUAAACUAAGUUUCAUUGAUAAUAAUUAGUAAUUUUACUUUUAACUUUAGAAUGGAUUCAAAUUCAACAUUAAAAAUUAAAUAAUAAAAAAAAGGAUAAAAAUAACAUAAAUAUAACAAAUCAAUGUACAAUGUCAAAUAAUUAAUAUGGAUAGUUGGAUAUACUAUAAAUAAUGUAUUAUAUUCUUUCUUCUAUUUCUUAUUUAUAUACACAUAUACAUAUAUAAAAUAAACUUAUAUAUCUAUAUUUAAAAAAAAAAAAAAAAAUAAACUCAAAAAUUGGGAGGGGGCUUCAGCCCCCCCUGAAUCCGCCACUGGGUAUAACAUUUCAGAAUGAAUCUGUUGAAACUUUGAGGUUGAUUGAUUGUUGGAUUUGUGGUGAGGAAGAACUUGAUGAAUGCUCUUGUAUGAACUUGGCUUUGCCAAAAUAACUUGGGUGGAAUAUGUGUGAAUGAGAGCUUGGCUGCAUUCUAUCUUGAAUUGGUAGAGGAGAUGCCUUAAGCAAAGGUGUGUUGGGAAUUGAAAGCCUGGGCGGCUAGUAUGUAAGGUAGGGUAUAGGUAGGGCGGCUAGUUGAUUGGACAAUUAAAACUUCAGGGUUAAAUUAUGUGAACUGUAAAAAUUCUUCAGGGUUCGCGAAUUUAAAGCUCGUGUAAAUGCUUGAAUGCUUAAUUUAAAUAAAUUUGAGACGCACAAAAAUUAAAAUAAAUGAAUUUUACAAAGUUAUUUUGUAAAUNUAUAUAACUAAAAAAAAAAAAAAACUCAAAGUGGAGGGGCUUCAGCCCCCCCCCCCCCCCCCCGAUCCGCCACUGGAUGCAACCAGUAUCAAAAUGACACAGUGAUAAGGAGUUCCUCACCCAGAUCUUUCAAAGAAAAUAUACUAGCAAUUAAUGUUCAUCAACGGAUGUAAAAAGUAUGGUAAAAGAAUCUAGUAAGUAAAAGUGAAAAUUCUGAAAUUCCAUGCUUAUAAAACCAUAUAGCAUAUACUGCAUUCUGCCCCGUUCUUACCACAGAUUAAUGCUGCUAAAAAUCACUGCAAUCCAUCUCACGGUAUUUUGAGAAUUUUAAACAUUGGUGUCUCUUGAUUGAUGGCCCCUGUUGACAUGCUUCUACUAAGCACGGCCCCAGCUAUAAACAUGGGUCAAGGACUGCAUUCCUGCUAAAAGUCUCAUGUAGGCCAACCCCAGUUGCAAUUAUUCAUGAAAAAAUGGCUGAAACAUAUUAUACCUCUUACAUUGUCCGUG